CUUAUAGAUAGCAGUAAAAUUGAUUUCCCCCCCACCUCCUCUUUAUGAAUUCUUAGCCCAAAGACUGAAAAAUCUCUGAUGCCUCCUGGGAACUAUUUCUAAUUUUAAGCGGCAGCACCCCAUGUGUGGAGCAGCCUCCAAAAUGUGCUCCCUAGUGACCUGCUACAGUGCUGAAUUACUUGUUCCUCCUUGUCUAUUUUCAAUGCUGGAAGAUAAGUCAGAAAACGGGCAAACAUUCAGAAUGUGUGAAAUCUGCCUGAAGGUCAAAAAGAGAAGAGGGGCUAAGGUGGAGGAACCAAACCAUGGAGAGCGUAAAGGAUUUGCCCAAAGGAUCAGCAAUUCAUUUUAAAGCAAGGAGUCCUCAUCUACCUAUCCACCAGACAUUCAUCUUGUCCCGUGAACUUCCAUCUAGAUGAGUUGCUGCUGUUUUACAAAAUUAUAUGUGUCUAUACAAAUAUACAUAUAUAUGUUUCCCAAAGUAAGAAGAAAAGAAAGAACAGACCUUUACCUCUUUUUGCUGAGCCUGGACAGGUAGAGAGAGGAACAGGUAAAGUUGACUGAAGGGUGGGUGAGCUUUAGCACAGCGCUUUGGUCUUGCUAGAGCCCACCUCUGUGUCAGUGUUGGGCUCCCAGAAGAGAUCUGUGUCUGAGGGAGGACACUCUGGACAGGGUGAGCAAACCCCAGUCAGCUCCCAGGAGCUCUGCCUCCUGCUGUGGUCUGACACUGGCUCACUGGCUGGAGAUCCCCUCUAGCCUGGAGGACUGAUGCUGGGGGAGACCAGCUCCUGAGCUGUUCCUGACAUGCACUGGCAGCUGUCUGCCUGCUACUCUUUUAAAGGGUCUUUGUGAAUCAGGAUAAAAAUGUGACCUUACGCAGGCGGCAUUGUGAGCGCAGCUUGGCUCAGGUUCAGCUCUUCCUCUGGCUCCCAGCUACUCUAUUUUUAUUGAAGGAAUUUUGAGGCUAUCAGAAAGGAAGUCAAAUUGUUUUAGGAAAACAAUAGAAAAGCAACUUGAAGUUUAUUAGCUUCCUGCCCAGGGUCUGGGACCAACUUGUCAAACUUAUUAGAGCGAUGGUGGGACUAUUUAUUUAAAAGGGCUAGCAACAAGACUCACAAUUUCAUUCCUGUUUAGGCCUUGGUGGAAACAAAGGAAGGCCAUAAAAUAAUAUCUGAAGGGAGCAGAUGGCUAACUGGUAAAUGGUGUGAAUAAGGUUGGCCUGUGAGACACUGGUGGUGGUCACCAGUGCAGUGGCUUUUGUGGGAUUUUGUUAUCGACCGAAUGCCCAGGCUUGCAUUCAUAGGCCAGUCCCAUCACCCCAAAUUCCUUACUGUGGCUCGAAUUUUCAGAUGGAAGCCUCACACCUAAGAAAACAAAUUUGGCAGGAAAAGGUCUGUGUUUUAGAGCUACUGAAAGGAGCAAGACAAUGCAGCAGGUUUGCAGAAGAGACAGGAAUAGAGCCCAGGUGUCCCUGAUCCCGCUGGACUGCUGGAGCCCCCCGACUGCAAAAAAUAUUUAUAUCCUUCAGAAGCAGCUGCAGUCUGCUUCCCCAUCCAGCUACCCCAAAGUAGCAGCACCAUUAAGUCAUUGCAUACAUGCUGGCAUGUGGCUGGUGAGAAGAAUGGACAGCCAAACCAUCAGACUCACGAGCAGAAAGUGUCUGUGCUGCCCAAGCCCUUCUAAGGAGUUUCAUCGUUUGCAAGGAAACAAGAAGAGAAUAAAACAGGGGGAAGAGAAAUCAGGACCUGAAUCUACUCUGAAGGCCAAGAUCUCUUGAGCUUUCCCUGGAAGUCAGCUUCAAAGGAAGAAACAGUUAAAAGGAUUUGAGAAAAGAGAGACAUGUGCCUGAAUGGUGGCAAGCAGCUUGCAGAGAAACACUUGGAAGAGUCCUCUUUAUGGGUUUGAACUCUAAGGAUCCCUGAAUAUAAAACAAUAAGCAACAAUUGAGCAGACUUAAAGUUUGACAGAGGCUGAGACUGUGCAUGUGGAAGAAUCUGAGGCACAAUGAAACUUCCUGAGAACAGCCCUGGAAGGAUGAGCGCUGGUGCAGAUGGAGGCUGGGACGUCAAGAGGUGCCAGCAGAGGCUCUGAGCCUUUGCACACAGCCAGAGUGACCAGAAUUCUACUCAAGGCUGGGAAACAAGACUUCUUAGAGCAUCAUGCCUUUCAAAGCAUUACCAGUUUGGACCUCCUUCUGCUUUCAUGUAACAGUUGGGUGGGGAUCAGUAAACCUGCUACCAGCCUCUCAUUUCUGCCACCAGUUUACCCAUCCAGAGAAGCGAACCUCGGCAUCCCGGCGCUGCCGGCGCAUGAAUGAGAAAACAUCGCCCGCUAGUGGCUCGGGCCGCGGGAGCUGCUGCUCUGCUGCUGCUGCUCCAGCAUCUGUGCUGGGACAAGGGACAAGGCGGGUGGCUCUCCUUCCUCCUGCCCUCGGAUAAAAUCAGCAUCUCUCUGGAAAAGGUUGUCUCUGAGCUGAGCGAGAAAAGAGGCUCUGAAUGGAAGCGCUGUGAGUCGCCUGCAGGCUGUUUGUUACGUUUAGUGUCAAUGUCCAGGAGAAACACUCUGGAUAAGCCACGACAUCCAAUCUUACGCUUAAUACAGUAACAGAACAAAUUGGUUGAGAUGUGGCUAUGGUGAGCAAGCACCUCUAAAGCUGCAGCACAUUCAGAGCUGUCACUGAAGCCACAGAACAAAGCUGUGAACACUCCUGAAGGUUCCCUGAGGACAGACCUCCUUACAGGGCUUUGAAGGUACCAGGGGUGAUCUAGGGGCAGCACGGGAAGCAGUACAGCACCACCGUGCUCCAUACUGCCCCAGCUAAUUAGGCCCACUCCGGAGGAGAUAAUUAACUCAAGUGGAAUUCUUCACUGGCACAGCCAACUUACUCCCAGACCUAAGCUGGUAUCUCCCCAGUUCAGCACUGUACUGGGUGGUGCAGACAACCUGUGAUGUCCAGGCUGAGUUUUCAGGACUGGUGGCAAGAUACUAUUUUUUUUUUUUCCAACUGAAAAUAUUUUUCUGAGAUUUCUCUAGGUCUUUGGCCCUAUACGAAACUGUAGAGACCAAAGGCCUCAGCCUCCCUCUCCCCCCAGUUGUUUUUCUGCUUACGAGGUAAGAUCAUCCUUAACAGAUGUUUGUUUACCUCUUCAUAAAAACCUCCUGUGAUUCUGCAGCCUCCCCAAGCAGUCUACUGCAGUGCUUUGCUAUUCUUGCCAUUGCAAAGUGUUUUUCUAAUGUUUAGCUAUAUCAUUUUUAUUGCAAAUUAAGCUGAUUAUUUCCUCUUCUACUUUUGGUGAAUGUAGGGGACAACUGUUUAGUCUCUCCACCCAUUAUAACAAAUGUUUAUGUGCUGGAAGACUGUUAUCAUGCCUCCCCUCCUGUUGUUCUUUUCCUAGAGAAAACAAACUCGGUUAUUUUAUCCAUUCCUUAUAAGUAAUGGGUUUUUUUCACAUCUCUUAUCAUUUUGUUGUUCUCUUUUUGGACUCUCUCCAGUGUGUCUGUAUCUCCUGUAAAAUGUAGAGCCUGGAACCGGACACACUGUUCCUGCUGAGAGCUCAGCAGUAUCAAGUAAAUGCACAAAAUAAUUGCUUCCUUUGCCUUAUACAAAAAAUUUCCAUUAAAGCAUCUCAGAACGAGAUUUGUCUUCUUCUGUGGGAAUCUCACUUAACAGACUCAUAUUGGGUCAAACCCCAUCUCCUCUUUGCUGCGCUGCUGCCAAAACAGUUACAGUUUAGUUUGGACCAGCACAUUUGGUGUCUGUGCAGUCACCUUUCCUGAACUGUUCCUUGGUGCAGUCACCUCUGCAGAGGGCAGAGCACAGCUCUCCAGUGCCUCACGUUCCUCUCAAAUUCUGACUGCUCCAGCCCCCUGUCUUCAGGAGGGAGUGCUGCCCCGCCAGCCCAGCUGUCAUCCUCUUGGUUUUGUCCUCUAGGCUGUUGUCCGAAACACUCAAGGAAAUACUGAGAAGCCCUGGAGGCAAAACUUCAGGGACAUGAACCUCCCAGCUGGAAAAGUGAAGCCCUGAUAAUUACCCUUGAUAAUGGUACUUCAA
Molecule: RNA transcript, 4048 nt
Organism: Pseudopipra pipra
Lineage: Eukaryota; Metazoa; Chordata; Aves; Passeriformes; Pipridae
Gene: GJA8
Gene name: gap junction protein alpha 8
Exons: 7
Source: RefSeq, a predicted model, not a curated record